RNAcentral lists this ribosomal RNA (253 nucleotides) under uncultured bacterium. RNAcentral's name for it is "partial 16S ribosomal RNA". It matches the Rfam family "Bacterial small subunit ribosomal RNA", at positions 524 to 776 of the family's 1533-position model. The record is from RNAcentral.
UACGGAGGGGGCUAGCGUUGUUCGGAAUUACUGGGCGUAAAGCGUACGUAGGCGGCUUUGUAAGUUAGAGGUGAAAGCCCGGGGCUCAACUCCGGAAUUGCCUUUAAGACUGCAUCGCUUGAAUCAUGGAGAGGUGAGUGGAAUUCCGAGUGUAGAGGUGAAAUUCGUAGAUAUUCGGAAGAACACCAGUGGCGAAGGCGACUCACUGGCCCGAAACUGACGCUGAGGUGCGAAAGCGUGGGGAGCAAACAGG